GAUGAACGCUGGCGGCGUGCCUAAUACAUGCAAGUCGAGCGAACAGACGAGGAGCUUGCUCCUUUGACGUUAGCGGCGGACGGGUGAGUAACACGUGGGUAACCUACCUAUAAGACUGGGAUAACUUCGGGAAACCGGAGCUAAUACCGGAUAAUAUUUCGAACCGCAUGGUUCGAUAGUGAAAGAUGGCUUUGCUAUCACUUAUAGAUGGACCUGCGCCGUAUUAGCUAGUUGGUAAGGUAACGGCUUACCAAGGCAACGAUACGUAGCCGACCUGAGAGGGGGGUCGGGCCACCUGGGAAUGGAACCAGGGCCCAGAUCCCUAGGGGGGGCAGAAGUGGGGAAUUUUCCGAAAUGGGGGAAAGCCUGACGGAGAAACCCCGGGGGGGUGAGGAAGGGUUUCGGAUCGUAAAACUCUGUUAUUAGGGAAAAACAAACGUGUAAGUAACUGUGCAGGUCUGGACGGUACCUAAUCAGAAAGCCCCGGCUAACUACGU
Molecule: ribosomal RNA, 497 nt
Filed under: uncultured bacterium
Lineage: Bacteria
Description: partial 16S ribosomal RNA
Rfam family: Bacterial small subunit ribosomal RNA
Source: RNAcentral